Molecule: long non-coding RNA, 559 nt
Organism: Eucalyptus grandis
Lineage: Eukaryota; Viridiplantae; Streptophyta; Magnoliopsida; Myrtales; Myrtaceae
Exons: 3
Source: RefSeq, a predicted model, not a curated record
AAUCCGUCAAUCGUGUUUGGUCAAUCGGAGGAUUUGUAUCGGAAAACGUCGGCAACGGGGAUAAAGGGGAACUCGUGGAAGUGGUGUUCCAACAGGUUAUCAAAUUAAUGCGGACUCGAAGUUGUAAGUCCUGGAGCAUCCCCAUUGAUUCAGAAACUAACCCAGCUACCGCCAAAGUAGCCAAAGAACCUUUAAUUGCGUUUUGCAGCUUUCUGCAUAUCUUAGCAGUGCCAUGAAGUCAAUGAGGUGCUGAUCAAAGUAGUCGAUUGUAACUACAGAAGGUAUCUGGUUGGAGAUUAUAUAUGCGAAGAAUAACUGCAUCUAAGGAUUUUGGCUCUUGUCCAAUUAUUCCUCGAACUAAAGUGCAUUAUAGCUACAUGUGGAAUAAAGAAUAUAAUUGCUAAUUACCAGAUUCCCAACCAAGAUUGUGCUAGUCUUGCUGAUCCCUCCAAAGAUCAAAAUUCCAAUGGAUUCAAGUCACAUGUUCAUUCGAUGUUACCUCUUUGAAAUUCGAGACUCUUCCAUAUUUAUAUGCACGAACAAACCUCAAAUGUUAGUU